This 2923-nucleotide ribosomal RNA is filed under the name Klebsiella pneumoniae. RNAcentral's name for it is "23S ribosomal RNA". It matches the Rfam family "Bacterial large subunit ribosomal RNA". The record is from RNAcentral. Lineage: Bacteria; Pseudomonadati; Pseudomonadota; Gammaproteobacteria; Enterobacterales; Enterobacteriaceae. RNAcentral also lists the same sequence under 1 other name.
GGGUUGUGAGGUUAAGCGACUAAGCGUACACGGUGGAUGCCCUGGCAGUCAGAGGCGAUGAAGGACGUGCUAAUCUGCGAAAAGCGUCGGUAAGGUGAUAUGAACCGUUACAGCCGGCGAUGUCCGAAUGGGGAAACCCAGUGCAAUUCGUUGCACUAUCGUUAACUGAAUACAUAGGUUAACGAGGCGAACCGGGGGAACUGAAACAUCUAAGUACCCCGAGGAAAAGAAAUCAACCGAGAUUCCCCCAGUAGCGGCGAGCGAACGGGGAGCAGCCCAGAGUCUGAAUCAGCUUGUGUGUUAGUGGAACGGUCUGGAAAGUCCGACGGUACAGGGUGAUAGUCCCGUACACCAAAAUGCACAGGCUGUGAACUCGAAGAGUAGGGCGGGACACGUGGUAUCCUGUCUGAAUAUGGGGGGACCAUCCUCCAAGGCUAAAUACUCCUGACUGACCGAUAGUGAACCAGUACCGUGAGGGAAAGGCGAAAAGAACCCCGGCGAGGGGAGUGAAAAAGAACCUGAAACCGUGUACGUACAAGCAGUGGGAGCACCUUCGGGUGUGACUGCGUACCUUUUGUAUAAUGGGUCAGCGACUUAUAUUCUGUAGCAAGGUUAACCGUAUAGGGGAGCCGCAGGGAAACCGAGUCUUAACUGGGCGUUAAGUUGCAGGGUAUAGACCCGAAACCCGGUGAUCUAGCCAUGGGCAGGUUGAAGGUUGGGUAACACUAACUGGAGGACCGAACCGACUAAUGUUGAAAAAUUAGCGGAUGACUUGUGGCUGGGGGUGAAAGGCCAAUCAAACCGGGAGAUAGCUGGUUCUCCCCGAAAGCUAUUUAGGUAGCGCCUCGUGAAUUCAUCUUCGGGGGUAGAGCACUGUUUCGGCUAGGGGGUCAUCCCGACUUACCAACCCGAUGCAAACUACGAAUACCGAAGAAUGUUAUCACGGGAGACACACGGCGGGUGCUAACGUCCGUCGUGAAGAGGGAAACAACCCAGACCGCCAGCUAAGGUCCCAAAGUCAUGGUUAAGUGGGAAACGAUGUGGGAAGGCACAGACAGCCAGGAUGUUGGCUUAGAAGCAGCCAUCAUUUAAAGAAAGCGUAAUAGCUCACUGGUCGAGUCGGCCUGCGCGGAAGAUGUAACGGGGCUAAACCAUGCACCGAAGCUGCGGCAGCGACACUAUGUGUUGUUGGGUAGGGGAGCGUUCUGUAAGCCUGCGAAGGUGACCUGUGAGGGUUGCUGGAGGUAUCAGAAGUGCGAAUGCUGACAUAAGUAACGAUAAAGCGGGUGAAAAGCCCGCUCGCCGGAAGACCAAGGGUUCCUGUCCAACGUUAAUCGGGGCAGGGUGAGUCGACCCCUAAGGCGAGGCCGAAAGGCGUAGUCGAUGGGAAACAGGUUAAUAUUCCUGUACUUGGUGUUACUGCGAAGGGGGGACGGAGAAGGCUAUGUUAGCCGGGCGACGGUUGUCCCGGUUUAAGCAUGUAGGCUGGUUGUCCAGGCAAAUCCGGAUAAUCAAGGCUGAGGUGUGAUGACGAGGCACUACGGUGCUGAAGUAACAAAUGCCCUGCUUCCAGGAAAAGCCUCUAAGCAUCAGGUAACAUUAAAUCGUACCCCAAACCGACACAGGUGGUCAGGUAGAGAAUACCAAGGCGCUUGAGAGAACUCGGGUGAAGGAACUAGGCAAAAUGGUGCCGUAACUUCGGGAGAAGGCACGCUGGUGUGUAGGUGAAGUCCCUGCGGAUGGAGCUGAGACCAGUCGAAGAUACCAGCUGGCUGCAACUGUUUAUUAAAAACACAGCACUGUGCAAACACGAAAGUGGACGUAUACGGUGUGACGCCUGCCCGGUGCCGGAAGGUUAAUUGAUGGGGUUAUCCGUAAGGAGAAGCUCUUGAUCGAAGCCCCGGUAAACGGCGGCCGUAACUAUAACGGUCCUAAGGUAGCGAAAUUCCUUGUCGGGUAAGUUCCGACCUGCACGAAUGGCGUAAUGAUGGCCAGGCUGUCUCCACCCGAGACUCAGUGAAAUUGAACUCGCUGUGAAGAUGCAGUGUACCCGCGGCAAGACGGAAAGACCCCGUGAACCUUUACUAUAGCUUGACACUGAACAUUGAGCCUUGAUGUGUAGGAUAGGUGGGAGGCUUUGAAGCGUGGACGCCAGUCUGCGUGGAGCCAACCUUGAAAUACCACCCUUUAAUGUUUGAUGUUCUAACGUUGGCCCCUUACCGGGGUUGCGGACAGUGUCUGGUGGGUAGUUUGACUGGGGCGGUCUCCUCCCAAAGCGUAACGGAGGAGCACGAAGGUUAGCUAAUCCUGGUCGGACAUCAGGAGGUUAGUGCAAUGGCAUAAGCUAGCUUGACUGCGAGCGUGACGGCGCGAGCAGGUGCGAAAGCAGGUCAUAGUGAUCCGGUGGUUCUGAAUGGAAGGGCCAUCGCUCAACGGAUAAAAGGUACUCCGGGGAUAACAGGCUGAUACCGCCCAAGAGUUCAUAUCGACGGCGGUGUUUGGCACCUCGAUGUCGGCUCAUCACAUCCUGGGGCUGAAGUAGGUCCCAAGGGUAUGGCUGUUCGCCAUUUAAAGUGGUACGCGAGCUGGGUUUAGAACGUCGUGAGACAGUUCGGUCCCUAUCUGCCGUGGGCGCUGGAGAAUUGAGGGGGGCUGCUCCUAGUACGAGAGGACCGGAGUGGACGCAUCACUGGUGUUCGGGUUGUCAUGCCAAUGGCACUGCCCGGUAGCUAAAUGCGGAAGAGAUAAGUGCUGAAAGCAUCUAAGCACGAAACUUGCCCCGAGAUGAGUUCUCCCUGAGACUUUAAGUCUCCUGAAGGAACGUUGAAGACGACGACGUUGAUAGGCCGGGUGUGUAAGCGCAGCGAUGCGUUGAGCUAACCGGUACUAAUGAACCGUGAGGCUUAACCUUACAACGCCGAAG